Molecule: ribosomal RNA, 216 nt
Filed under: Glomeromycotina sp.
Lineage: Eukaryota; Fungi; Glomeromycota
Description: partial small subunit ribosomal RNA
Rfam family: Eukaryotic small subunit ribosomal RNA (bases 40-216)
Source: RNAcentral
GGUUCAGUAGGUUGGUCGUGCCACCGGUACGUACUGGUCUCACUGAUUCCUCCUUCCUGAAGAACCGUAAUGCCAUUAAUUUGGUGUUGCGGGGAAACAGGACUGUUACUUUGAAAAAAUUAGAGUGUUUAAAGCAAGCUAACGCUUGAAUACAUUAGCAUGGAAUAGUGAAAUAGGACGAUCGAUCCUAUUUUGUUGGUUUCUAGGAUUGACGUA